CAAAUGUUUGUGCACCCAUCUUCACAGCAGCAUUAUUUCAGCAGCCAAAUGGCGAAAGCAAACCAAGUAUCUAUCAACAAAUGAAUGAAUGAACAAAAUGUAUAUCCAUACAAUGGAAUAUUAUUUGGUCUUUAAAAAAUUGGAAGUCUGACACAUGCUACAACAUGGAUGAGCCUUGAAGACGUGCUAAGUGAAAUAAGCCAGUCACAAAAAAGAAAAUAUUGUAUGAUUUCACUUUUCAGAGGUACCUAGAGUGAUCAAAUUCAUAGAGAUGCACAGACAGGCUGCGGAGUGGGAGGACUGGAAGUUAAUGUUUAAUGGGUAUAGAGUUUCUCUUUGGGAAGAUGGAUGGGCUUUGCGAUUGUUGUGAGGGUUCCACGACAAGGUGAAUGUGCUGAACGCUACCGAACCGUACACCUAAGAUGGUUAAAGUGAUGGAAGUUUGCUCUUGUUGCCUGGGCUGGAGUACAAUGGCACUAUUUUGGCUCACGCAACCUUCGCCUCCUGUGUUCAAGUGAUUCUCCUGCCUCUGCCUCCUGAGUAUCCGGGAUUACAGGUUACUGAUGAUUGAUGCGAAGAAGAGGAGGGACUAUAGAAGCACACCUUGCGGAUACUUUUCCUUAAGCUGAGCCCCUAAUGAUGGAAGGGAGCUGGCAGCAAGAGAAAAUUCUACAGCAGACUGUUUUUGGACUCAAACCGGAAUAUCAGCUCUCCUGGGUCUCCAGAUUGCCCAUUUUGCCUUAUGGUUGGAACUGCGGCAUCGGCCCUCCUGGUCUCCAGUCUGCUGGCCGACCCUGCAGAUUUUGGACUUGUCAGCCACCAUUAUCAUUUUCUUUCAGUUUCUCCCUGUUGCAUGGUGUAAACUGGCAUCUCAUGCGGAAAAAGAGGGUUCAGAUUACCCUAGGGAAGUGUAAUGCAGAGGAAUCUCUAUCAGCAUGAAACCAGGGUGGGCACCAACGUGAAAACCUUCGAAUCAGAG
RNAcentral lists this long non-coding RNA (979 nucleotides) under Callithrix jacchus (white-tufted-ear marmoset). RNAcentral describes it as "lncRNA (ENSCJAG00000082895.1)". Lineage: Eukaryota; Metazoa; Chordata; Mammalia; Primates; Cebidae. The record is from RNAcentral.